This is a long non-coding RNA of Daucus carota subsp. sativus, 903 nucleotides long. RefSeq lists it as uncharacterized. Lineage: Eukaryota; Viridiplantae; Streptophyta; Magnoliopsida; Apiales; Apiaceae. The record is from RefSeq and is a predicted model, not a curated record. The transcript is spliced from 3 exons.
AGAGGAUGACGUGUAGCCUCUCAAAUCUCCUCUUUUACAUUUUCUCAAUUCCUAGACUCCCAUGUCUAUUUUCUCUCAAAUGAUAGGAUUUCAGUGUUAGUUAAUUCUGGAAUUUUGAAAUUCCAGGCAGAAAUCGAAAAGUUACUCUAACUUUACUACUUCAGUUACAUAUUUGUAAAGGCUGAAACUCUAAGUAUUUAGCUUCAGCUCCACACCUCAAAGCUAACAUAUUUCGCUUCCGGUGUUGCUCCUACUCCUACGAUGAUUACGUUAAUCAAGUCAUUUCAACGGCGUUCCCUGACUUCCACUCCUACAAUUUUGUCGAUGCCAAUUUAUUCAAGGAUGAAGAAAUAAGGGCUUAGUUUCUGGGAUGUGGCUGUUAAGGUGGUGCAAAUGGCAUGUUCUCUUUGCAAAACAAUACAAAGGGCUUAGUUCCGGGGAGUUUUGAUCAGGUUAAUAAGUCCAAGAAUGAUGAUUCUCAUAUUACUGUGGCGGGUAUUUUUAUUUACUUCGAAUGGUCAGAUUCGGAGACUCAGUUGCUGACAAUUAAGUUCGGAUGGAAUGUCGUGAUGAGGUCAGUGUCCAGCACACUGGUUGGAGUUAGCCUAGAAUUUGAAAUAGCUACAAAUUGUGUUUCUACAUGGGCAAUGAGAACAAUAUUGUGAGGAGUUUGGACCUUUCUCGGCGAACAUCAAGUGCUAUCGUGUCGGAAACAAUAUUGUAUCAGCUUUCCCUGUUGCUAAAAACUGAACUAUAUGUCAAAUGCUCUGAUGCUUCCAUUUCUUCAUCAUUGAUGGGAUUAUUUUGGCCGAGAAACAUUAGAUUUCCUUUCAAGUACUCAACUCGCAAGAACUUAUGUAGUAUUUUUGUUUUGCUAAUUAUAUGAUUUUUGUUUAUUUGAUU